CCUCAGUUUAUUCUAAAUGUCCCAGACCUUUGGCCUUCUAAAAUCUUCACUAAUAUCAAGGAGCCUGAAUCUUAAUGGGAUUUAUGGCUCACCAUUGCCAUGCAAGCUUUCUAAGGUAUUCAUAGAACUUGUCACUUCCUGGUCAACAUAUCAACAGCAGGAUGUCAUCCUUAUAGUGUACCACCAAGAUUUCCUCUGGGAUAUCAACAUGAUUAAUUCAUAUUGAUUCACAUUUGAAUGAUAUUUUGAAUCGCAUCAUAUUGAUUUAAAUUUAUAUUAAUUCAUAUUAAAUUCAGUCUAUUGUAGUGGAAUGUUUUGCCUUUUUCAUGUAAAAACCAUGUUUGAUUAAUAUUACUCUCAGCGAUGAGUACUGAGAAGAAAGCCAUAUCAGUAGCAUAAAGCAAGCAGCAAAGGCUCUGUGGAUCUGUUGCAGUAAAGAUGGCACAUUCCCAGUUGCUGCAGUAGAGGCCUGGCCAACAUGGUGAAACCCCAUCUCUACUAAAAAUGCAAAAGUUAUCUGGAAAUUGCUUGAAUCUGGGAGGCAGAGGUUGCAGUGAGCUGAGAUUGUGGCACUCCAACCUUGGGGAACAGAGCAAGAUUUCAUCUCA
Molecule: long non-coding RNA, 608 nt
Filed under: Homo sapiens (human)
Lineage: Eukaryota; Metazoa; Chordata; Mammalia; Primates; Hominidae
Description: non-protein coding lnc-SNAI2-1:1
Source: RNAcentral